This 478-nucleotide ribosomal RNA is filed under the name uncultured soil bacterium. Its description in RNAcentral is "bacterial SSU rRNA". It matches the Rfam family "Bacterial small subunit ribosomal RNA", at positions 26 to 522 of the family's 1533-position model. The record is from RNAcentral.
AGAGCGAACGCUAGCGGGUGGCCUAACACAUGCAAGUCGAGCGGAGACUUCGGUCUCAGCGGCGGACGGGUGAGUAACACGUAGGUAUCUACUUCUUGGUGGGGCAUAGGCCGGGGGGAAACCCCGAUUAAUACCGCAUAUGGCCUACGGGUCAAAGCCUUCGGGCGCCAUGGAAUGAGCAUGCGGCCGAUUAUUAAUCCUAGUUGGUGGGUAAUGGCCUACCAAGGGUACGAUCGGUAGCUGGUCUGAGAGGACGAUCAGCCACACUGGAACUGAGACACGGUCCAGACUCCGUACGGGAGCAGCAGUGGGGAAUAUUGCGCAAGUGGGACGAAAGCCUGACGCAGCCAACCCGCGUGGGUGAUGGAAGGCCGUUCGGGUCGUAAACGCCCCGUGUCCGGUGAAGGGGAAGAACCGUGGACCGGUACCUCAACAAGAAAGCCGACCGGCCUAACCCCGCGACCCAGCCGACGCCGAC